CAGCAGCCGCGGGAAUACGAAGGUCCCGAGCGUUGUUCGGAAUCACUGGGCGUAAAGGGAGCGUAGGCGGCGUGGUAAGUCAGAUGUGAAAUCCCGGGGCUCAACCCCGGAACUGCAUCCGAUACUGCCAUGCUAGAGGAUUGGAGAGGUAGCUGGAAUUCUUGGCGUAGCAGUGAAAUGCGUGGAGAUCAAGAGGAACACUCGUGGCGAAAGCGAGCUACUGGACAAUAACUGACGCUGAGGCCCGAAGGCCAGGGUAGCGAAAGGGAUUAGAUACGCCUGUAGUCCCUGUCUCUUAUAC
This 301-nucleotide ribosomal RNA is filed under the name uncultured bacterium. Its description in RNAcentral is "partial 16S ribosomal RNA". It matches the Rfam family "Bacterial small subunit ribosomal RNA", at positions 509 to 807 of the family's 1533-position model. The record is from RNAcentral.